GAGUAACACGUGAGCAACCUGCCCCGGACUCUGGGAUAACAGCUGGAAACAGCUGCUAAUACCGGAUACGAGCUGCGAAGGCAUCUUCAGCAGCUGGAAAGAAUUUCGGUCCGGGAUGGGCUCGCGGCCUAUCAGCUAGUUGGUGAGGUAAUGGCUCACCAAGGCGUCGACGGGUAGCCGGCCUGAGAGGGUGACCGGCCACACUGGGACUGAGACACGGCCCAGACUCCUACGGGAGGCAGCAGUGGGGAAUAUUGCACAAUGGGCGAAAGCCUGAUGCAGCAACGCCGCGUGAGGGAUGACGGCCUUCGGGUUGUAAACCUCUUUUAGCAGGGAAGAAGCGAAAGUGACGGUACCUGCAGAAAAAGCGCCGGCUAACUACGUGCCAGCAGCCGCGGUAAUACGUAGGGCGCAAGCGUUAUCCGGAAUUAUUGGGCGUAAAGAGCUCGUAGGCGGUUUGUCGCGUCUGCUGUGAAAACCCGAGGCUCAACCUCGGGCCUGCAGUGGGUACGGGCAGACUAGAGUGCGGUAGGGGAGAUUGGAAUUCCUGGUGUAGCGGUGGAAUGCGCAGAUAUCAGGAGGAACACCGAUGGCGAAGGCAGAUCUCUGGGCCGUAACUGACGCUGAGGAGCGAAAGGGUGGGGAGCAAACAGGCUUAGAUACCCUGGUAGUCCACCCCGUAAACGUUGGGAACUAGUUGUGGGGUCCAUUCCACGGAUUCCGUGACGCAGCUAACGCAUUAAGUUCCCCGCCUGGGGAGUACGGCCGCAAGGCUAAAACUCAAAGGAAUUGACGGGGACCCGCACAAGCGGCGGAGCAUGCGGAUUAAUUCGAUGCAACGCGAAGAACCUUACCAAGGCUUGACAUAUACGAGAACGGGCCAGAAAUGGUCAACUCUUUGGACACUCGUAAACAGGUGGUGCAUGGUUGUCGUCAGCUCGUGUCGUGAGAUGUUGGGUUAAGUCCCGCAACGAGCGCAACCCUCGUUCUAUGUUGCCAGCACGUAAUGGUGGGAACUCAUGGGAUACUGCCGGGGUCAACUCGGAGGAAGGUGGGGAUGACGUCAAAUCAUCAUGCCCCUUAUGUCUUGGGCUUCACGCAUGCUACAAUGGCCGGUACAAAGGGCUGCAAUACCGCAAGGUGGAGCGAAUCCCAAAAAGCCGGUCCCAGUUCGGAUUGAGGUCUGCAACUCGACCU
Molecule: ribosomal RNA, 1197 nt
Filed under: Microbacterium sp. MCC-U
Lineage: Bacteria; Bacillati; Actinomycetota; Actinomycetes; Micrococcales; Microbacteriaceae
Description: bacterial SSU rRNA
Rfam family: Bacterial small subunit ribosomal RNA
Source: RNAcentral